RNAcentral lists this long non-coding RNA (1115 nucleotides) under Lonchura striata (white-rumped munia). RNAcentral describes it as "domestica (Bengalese finch) lncRNA (ENSLSDG00000016193.1)". Lineage: Eukaryota; Metazoa; Chordata; Aves; Passeriformes; Estrildidae. The record is from RNAcentral.
CGGGACUGGAGGGUGCGGGAACGGGUGUGCGGGACCGGGAUGUGCGGGACUGGAGGGUGCGGGAAUGGGGAGUGCGGAGUGUGCGGGAACGGGUGUGCAGGACUGGAGGGUGCGGGAAUGGGGAGUGCGGAGUGUGCGGGACCGGGUGUGCAGGACUGGGAUGUGCGGGACCGGGGAGUGCGGGAAUGGGGAGUGCGGAGUGUGCAGGAACGGGUGUGCAGGACUGGGAUGUGCGGGAAUGGGGAGUGCGGGACCGGGGAGUGCAGGACUGGGAUGUGCGGGGUGUGCAGGGUGUGCGGGACCGGGAUGUGCGGGGUGUGCAGGGUGUGCGGGACAGGGUUGUGUGGGACCGGGAAGUACGGGACAAGGGAGUGCGGGGUGUGCGGGGCCGGGGUGUGCGGGCCGCGGCUGUGCAUUGCUGGGGGUGUGCGGAUUCACAGUGUGCGGGCCCAGGGUUGUGCGGGGCCGGGGCUCCGGCGGCUGUGUGGAGUCGGGGCUGCAGGGCUGGGGUGCGGGGGGAGCGCGGGCAGAGCUGUUCUGGCUUUCACUCAUGCCAGCUCCCAAGAGUGGGGCUGCACGUCCCCGUUUUGCCGAGGAAGACGGGGAAGGAGUGAUGUGCUCGACGCAGGAGGAGAUUCGACUCUGCAACGCUGUGCCCCCUUUUCCUUACCCACCUGCCGAACAACUUCCAGCCUACCCCUAUUUCCACUCCUAUUCUCUGCAUACAGCCAAUGGAGGACUGCAGAGUGUCAGGUUAACAGCGGGACUCAAUGAUCUUAGGGGUCUUUCCCAACCAAAUUCUAUUCUAUUCUAUUCUAUUCUAUUCUAUUCUAUUCUAUUCUAUUCUAUUCUAUUCUAUUCUAUUCUAUUCUAUUCUAUUCUAUUCCAAACAAGCCAAGGCAAUUCUGGUGUGUAUAUCACUAAACCAUGGUUGCACAUUGCCAUGGAAGAGCAGCAAUUUUAAUAUGAUAAAGAACAAAAUUGACACAUGUACCAACUGACACUGAGCCAGUAUCUGGGGAACAUGUUAAAAAGAACUGAGGACUCUUAAUUACACCACUCCAACAAAAGAAGGAAUGUUUUGAAAACAUUUAAUAAAACUACCUUUCAAAUCA